Molecule: ribosomal RNA, 288 nt
Filed under: uncultured eukaryote
Lineage: Eukaryota
Description: partial large subunit ribosomal RNA
Rfam family: Eukaryotic large subunit ribosomal RNA
Source: RNAcentral
AUAUAACUAGGCGGAGGAAAAGAAACUAACAAGGAUUCCCUCAGUAACGGCGAGUGAAGCGGGACAAGCUCAGACGUGAAAUCUUCGGAAUUGUCGUCUGGAGAAGCUAGAUUGCAAGGGAGGCAAAGUCUCCUGGAACGGAGCGCCUUGGAGGGUGACAGCCCCGUUUAUGCCUCCCGCAGCAUUUUCAGCUUUCUACGAGUCGAGUUGUUUGGGAUUGCAGCUCUAAGUGGGUGGUAAAUUCCAUCUAAAGCUAAAUAUUGGUGGGAGACCGAUAGCGCACAAGUA